Molecule: ribosomal RNA, 378 nt
Filed under: Selvasaura sp.
Lineage: Eukaryota; Metazoa; Chordata; Lepidosauria; Squamata; Gymnophthalmidae
Description: partial large subunit ribosomal RNA
Rfam family: Bacterial large subunit ribosomal RNA
Source: RNAcentral
GUAUUAAAGGUAACGCCUGCCCAGUGAUAAUUAAACGGCCGCGGGAUCCUCCACCGUGCAAAGGUAGCAUAAUCACUUGUCCCCUAAAUAGUGACUAGUAUGAAUGGCCAAAUGAAGAUUUUACUGUCUCUUAUAGCCGAUCUAUGAAACUAAUCUAUCAGUACAAAAACUGACAUUUUUACAUAAGACGAAAAGACCCUGUGGAACUUCAAGCGCUUUUAGUUGGGGCAACUUUGGAAAUAAGCAAAACUUCCAAAAGAUAAACAUAUCUGACCCAGCACCAAAGAACCAAGCUACCCCAGGGAUAACAGCGCCAUCCCCUCUUAGAGCCCAAAUCGACGAGCGGGGUUUACGACCUCGAUGUUGGAUCAGGGCCCC